CCAGCGGUGAAGGUGGAGGUUCCUACAAUAUAGGAUCCGCUCAGUAGAUAUCUUCUAUAUAAGAUCCUUCUCCUUAUUGACCCGUCAAGGAUGGAUAGGGACAAGAUGGCGGAGAGUAUAAUAAAUCUCACCGUAGAGCUCCUAUUCUGGCUUACUAGAGAGGACUACACAGUGGUGAAGAAGACCUCUAGUGGGCACUGUCAGGACCCUGUGUCUGAA
Long non-coding RNA from Bufo gargarizans (Asiatic toad), 219 nucleotides. RefSeq lists it as uncharacterized. Lineage: Eukaryota; Metazoa; Chordata; Amphibia; Anura; Bufonidae. The record is from RefSeq and is a predicted model, not a curated record. The transcript has 3 exons.